UCUGCGCGCUUUGUUUCAGGUGCUCGAAAUCCCCCGGAUUGAUUGAGUGAAACAGGGAAACCGGUAAAGCCGCUUAACGCGCUUCAUCCCGGUGCUGCCCCCGCAACGGUAGAUGAGUGAAGCUGUGCUGAUGCCACUGUGUCUGAAAAGCCAUGGGAAGGCGCGCAGUCGGGUUCGCCCGCUCAUGAGCCCGGAGACCGGCCUGAUCCAUCCAACAGCA
This 220-nucleotide non-coding RNA is filed under the name Pseudomonas syringae. Lineage: Bacteria; Pseudomonadati; Pseudomonadota; Gammaproteobacteria; Pseudomonadales; Pseudomonadaceae. The record is from RNAcentral.